GACCGGCCACACUGGGACUGAGACACGGCCCAGACUCCUACGGGAGGCAGCAGUGGGGAAUAUUGCACAAUGGGCGAAAGCCUGAUGCAGCGACGCCGCGUGAGGGAUGACGGCCUUCGGGUUGUAAACCUCUUUCAGCAGGGACGAAGCGCAAGUGACGGUACCUGCAGAAGAAGCACCGGCUAACUACGUGCCAGCAGCCGCGGUAAUACGUAGGGUGCAAGCGUUGUCCGGAAUUACUGGGCGUAAAGAGUUCGUAGGCGGUUUGUCGCGUCGUUUGUGAAAACCAGCAGCUCAACUGCUGGCUUGCAGGCGAUACGGGCAGACUUGAGUACUGCAGGGGAGACUGGAAUUCCUGGUGUAGCGGUGAAAUGCGCAGAUAUCAGGAGGAACACCGGUGGCGAAGGCGGGUCUCUGGGCAGUAACUGACGCUGAGGAACGAAAGCGUGGGUAGCGAACAGGAUUAGAUACCCUGGUAGUCCACGCCGUAAACGGUGGGCGCUAGGUGUGGGUUCCUUCCACGGAAUCCGUGCCGUAGCUAACGCAUUAAGCGC
This 554-nucleotide ribosomal RNA is filed under the name Rhodococcus sp. (in: high G+C Gram-positive bacteria). RNAcentral's name for it is "bacterial SSU rRNA". It matches the Rfam family "Bacterial small subunit ribosomal RNA", at positions 302 to 867 of the family's 1533-position model. Lineage: Bacteria; Bacillati; Actinomycetota; Actinomycetes; Mycobacteriales; Nocardiaceae. The record is from RNAcentral.